This 68-nucleotide transfer RNA is filed under the name Marmota monax (woodchuck). RNAcentral's name for it is "tRNA.Val". The stretch from base 5 to 65 matches the Rfam family "tRNA", at positions 6 to 65 of the family's 71-position model. Rfam says of the family: Transfer RNA (tRNA) molecules are approximately 80 nucleotides in length. The record is from RNAcentral. Lineage: Eukaryota; Metazoa; Chordata; Mammalia; Rodentia; Sciuridae.
GGUUUGUGGCUCAGUGGUAGAGUGCUUACUUCACAUGUAUGAGGCACUGAGUUCGAUUCUCAGCACCA